This 279-nucleotide ribosomal RNA is filed under the name uncultured bacterium. RNAcentral describes it as "partial 16S ribosomal RNA". It matches the Rfam family "Bacterial small subunit ribosomal RNA", at positions 506 to 784 of the family's 1533-position model. The record is from RNAcentral.
UGCCAGCCGCCGCGGUAAUACGAAGGUCCCAAGCGUUGUUCGGAAUCACUGGGUUUAAAGGGUCCGUAGGCGGUCUGGUAAGUCAGAGGUGAAGUCCUGCAGCUCAACUGUAGCAUUGCCUUUGAUACUGCCAGACUUGAGUUAUUGUGAGGUAGUUAGAAUGUGUAGUGUAGCGGUGAAAUGCAUAGAUAUUACACAGAAUACCGAUUGCGAAAGCAGAUUACUAACAAUAUACUGACGCUGAGGGACGAAAGCGUGGGUAGCGAACAGGAUUAGAUA